CCUACGGGAGGCAGCAGUGGGGAAUCUUGCGCAAUGGGCGAAAGCCUGACGCAGCCAUGCCGCGUGAAUGAUGAAGGUCUUAGGAUUGUAAAAUUCUUUCACCGGGGACGAUAAUGACGGUACCCGGAGAAGAAGCCCCGGCUAACUUCGUGCCAGCAGCCGCGGUAAUACGAAGGGGGCUAGCGUUGCUCGGAAUUACUGGGCGUAAAGGGAGCGUAGGCGGAUAGUUUAGUCAGAGGUGAAAGCCCAGGGCUCAACCUUGGAAUUGCCUUUGAUACUGGCUAUCUUGAGUUUGGGAGAGGUGAGUGGAACUCCGAGUGUAGAGGUGAAAUUCGUAGAUAUUCGGAAGAACACCAGUGGCGAAGGCGACUCACUGGCCCAAUACUGACGCUGAGGCUCGAAAGCGUGGGGAGCAAACAGGAUUAGAUACCCUGGUAGUCCACGCCGUAAACGAUGAGUGCUAGUUGUCGGCAUGCAUGCAUGUCGGUGACGCAGCUAACGCAUUAAGCACUCCGCCUGGGGAGUACGGUCGCAAGAUUAAACCUUAAAUGAAUUGACGG
RNAcentral lists this ribosomal RNA (560 nucleotides) under uncultured bacterium. RNAcentral's name for it is "bacterial SSU rRNA". It matches the Rfam family "Bacterial small subunit ribosomal RNA", at positions 338 to 916 of the family's 1533-position model. The record is from RNAcentral.